RNAcentral lists this ribosomal RNA (1448 nucleotides) under uncultured organism. RNAcentral's name for it is "SSU rRNA". It matches the Rfam family "Bacterial small subunit ribosomal RNA". The record is from RNAcentral.
UGAACGCUAGCUACAGGCUUAACACAUGCAAGUCGAGGGGCAGCAUGGUCUUAGCUUGCUAAGGCCGAUGGCGACCGGCGCACGGGUGAGUAACACGUAUCCAACCUGCCGUCUACUCUUGGACAGCCUUCUGAAAGGAAGAUUAAUACAAGAUGGCAUCAUGAGUCCGCAUGUUCACAUGAUUAAAGGUAUUCCGGUAGACGAUGGGGAUGCGUUCCAUUAGAUAGUAGGCGGGGUAACGGCCCACCUAGUCUUCGAUGGAUAGGGGUUCUGAGAGGAAGGUCCCCCACAUUGGAACUGAGACACGGUCCAAACUCCUACGGGAGGCAGCAGUGAGGAAUAUUGGUCAAUGGGCGCAGGCCUGAACCAGCCAAGUAGCGUGAAGGAUGACUGCCCUAUGGGUUGUAAACUUCUUUUAUAAAGGAAUAAAGUCGGGUAUGGAUACCCGUUUGCAUGUACUUUAUGAAUAAGGAUCGGCUAACUCCGUGCCAGCAGCCGCGGUAAUACGGAGGAUCCGAGCGUUAUCCGGAUUUAUUGGGUUUAAAGGGAGCGUAGAUGGAUGUUUAAGUCAGUUGUGAAAGUUUGCGGCUCAACCGUAAAAUUGCAGUUGAUACUGGAUAUCUUGAGUGCAGUUGAGGCAGGCGGAAUUCGUGGUGUAGCGGUGAAAUGCUUAGAUAUCACGAAGAACUCCGAUUGCGAAGGCAGCCUGCUAAGCUGCAACUGACAUUGAGGCUCGAAAGUGUGGGUAUCAAACAGGAUUAGAUACCCUGGUAGUCCACACGGUAAACGAUGAAUACUCGCUGUUUGCGAUAUACGGCAAGCGGCCAAGCGAAAGCGUUAAGUAUUCCACCUGGGGAGUACGCCGGCAACGGUGAAACUCAAAGGAAUUGACGGGGGCCCGCACAAGCGGAGGAACAUGUGGUUUAAUUCGAUGAUACGCGAGGAACCUUACCCGGGCUUAAAUUGCAGAUGAAUUACGGUGAAAGCCGUAAGCCGCAAGGCAUCUGUGAAGGUGCUGCAUGGUUGUCGUCAGCUCGUGCCGUGAGGUGUCGGCUUAAGUGCCAUAACGAGCGCAACCCUUGUUGUCAGUUACUAACAGGUUCCGCUGAGGACUCUGACAAGACUGCCAUCGUAAGAUGUGAGGAAGGUGGGGAUGACGUCAAAUCAGCACGGCCCUUACGUCCGGGGCUACACAUGUGUUACAAUGGGGGGUACAGAGGGCCGCUACCACGCGAGUGGAUGCCAAUCCCAAAAACCUCUCUCAGUUCGGACUGGAGUCUGCAACCCGACUCCACGAAGCUGGAUUCGCUAGUAAUCGCGCAUCAGCCACGGCGCGGUGAAUACGUUCCCGGGCCUUGUACACACCGCCCGUCAAGCCAUGGGAGCCGGGGGUACCUGAAGUGCGUAACCGCGAGGAGCGCCCUAGGGUAAAACUGGUGACUGGGGCU